Molecule: ribosomal RNA, 423 nt
Filed under: Helicotheca tamesis
Lineage: Eukaryota; Bacillariophyta; Thalassiosirophyceae; Lithodesmiales; Lithodesmiaceae
Description: partial Eukaryotic large subunit ribosomal RNA
Source: RNAcentral
GGCCGAAUGGGGAGCUCGCAAGCCGACGCCAGGAGCGCGCAGGUGCCGAGGCACGCCUUGCGGCGCGCGCUGCCAGCCACGAUCGCGACGACGGCAUCUCCACGGGCGUAUCAUCAGCCCGGGCUUGGGCCGCCGUCGCAAUCCGCAUCGGUCCACGCCCCGAGCCGAUCGGCGGACCGGCUCAUCACCGUUCCACAUCCGACCGGGGCGCAUCGCCAGCCCCCAUCCGCUUCCCUCCCGACAAUUUCAAGCACUCUUUGACUCUCUUUUCAAAGUCCUUUUCAUCUUUCCCUCGCGGUACUUGUUUGCUAUCGGUCUCUCGCCCGUAUUUAGCCUUGGACGGAAUUUACCGCCCGAUUUGGGCUGCAUUCCCAAACAACCCGACUCGCAGACAGCGCCUCGUGGUGCGAGAGGGUCCGGGCG